UGGAGGAUUGAGGAAAACACCAUACAAUCAAGCAGCAUCAGACACCAGGAGGAUCCUGUGGACUGAAAAGGCCUCAAGUGGAGUAUUGGGUCCAGUUCUGGGCACUACACUUCAGGAAAGACAUGGACAAAUUGGAGACAGUCCAGAGGAGAGCAACAAAAAUGAGUAGAGGUCUAGAAAACAUGACCUACAAGAAAAGAUUGAAAAAUUGGAUUUGUUUGGACUGGAGAAGGGAAGAUUGAGGGGCACAUACCAGUCACCAUGUAACAGCCCUGGGCUCUGGAGUGCCUCAGGGGAAUGUGGCCACUGGACGUUACAACAGAAUUGGGGUUUGUGAGUCAGGAGCAAACGAGGAUCCAGGAUGCUGCAAUAUUAGACCCAGAAUGAAGACAGCCAGCAUGGCUGAACCCUCCCACUCUGAAGACAUCACUUUUAGUUUUUUUGUGUGAUUUAUGUUUUUGUUGGGUGCUUAGGGCUCAGUGAUACCGGCUGUGCCUCAUUCACUCGGCCUUGCCUCAUGGCUCAGAGACGCAGUUCCCAUACUUCCAGGUUUCCCUUCUCUCCUUAGUGAGGCAAGGUGUCUAGUUCAAAGGGCUUGUGAACGUAAUGGGAUGUAGGGGGAUCUCUUGAGGGUGGUCUAGUUGCUUCCACUGAACAGAAGCAGAAUUGAUUUCAUAAUAAUAAAAACACCCAGCUCUUACACAGCUCUUUUCACCAGGAGCUCUCAAAGUGUGUUACAAAGGGAGUCAGUAGCAUCAGCCCCAUUUCACAGAUGGGGACACUGAGGCACAGUGAAGGGACGUGAGACCCAAGAACCUCUUAAUGCCAGCUGGCAAGAGAGUGCAGCGGGGACACAGACAUCGCAUGAGUUUGGUGUGUUGCUUCUAGUUCACUAAAGAGUAUCAUGUGAAGUCUUGAAUAAAACCUGUGUCCCUCUGGUCAUCAAAAUCAUUGUGAGAGGUUUCUCAUCACCAGUGUGAACGGAAUGCAAAUGAAGGAUGAUAAAAACUUCGGAGAGAGGAACUAACAGAGAGAGCAAAACAGUGGGGGGAAGACAAUCUGCGAGAACUGAGAUGGAAGAUCCUAGUUUGCCUGACUAUAUUUGAAGGGGGGAGCAGAGAAGAUCACUGAGGCUAUGCUUCAUGACAAAGGGGGUCUCAGUCGGGCUUGUUUGAAAGUUCUGAACAGAAUUCUGGGUGAGAAACUUCUCUAGACAGAAAAUCAGCCUGUUAAGUUUAGUCUCUAGAACGCAUGUAAUGAUUUUGUUUUGUAUGUAACCAUUUGUUUCCAAUAUUUUCAUUCGCUCACUUAUAGCUCUACUCUUUGGUAAUUAGCAUAUCCUUGUUUUGACUACAAAUAUGUCUCAGUACUGUGGUGUUAAGCAAAGUGCUGGGCCUGAGCUGAAUCUCACAAGCUGCUCCCUUGGGAACAGCCAGGCCUGGUAAUUCUGGGAGUGUUCAGUGGAUAAGGGUCUGGACACUGUAGGGAAUGCUCCGAGGACUCAGGGGAUGGUGGGUGCCAGUCACUACUUGUGCAGACCGAACAAGGCCUGCAGAGGCCUGGAAGCCAGUGCUGGUGCUGCAGAGACUGGCGGUUUCAGGCAGCUGCUCCCAGGAGGCACAGACCAUACUGCCUCAUGCUAAGGGCAGGUGGUGGUUAGUCUGGUUACCCUGAGGUGCAUCACAGGCAGUGACUUGUCCAAGGUCACCCCAUAGCCAGUGGCUGAGCUGGAAAUAGAAAUACUCAGACAGGAACAACGUUCAGGAUGGUUCAUUUCCAUCCAUGUCUGGUGAAGGUUGCAACACUUUUGGAUGGGUGGUGGGUAUCUGGUAUUCUAACCCUCCUGCCACUGUUUGGCUGCCAAAAAUGUGUGUAGGUGUCUCUCCUAUUUUACCACCCCUUCCUCCCCAGCCUCUCAGUUUUUGAGUUCUUCAGUCUACAGGGUUCUGAAGAGCAACAGUGAAACUGACAGUUUUUAUUUUGCUGUAGCUUGGCAAAGUUCUGAGCAGCAAUAGAGGUACCUGAGCAGCUGCUGAUGUGUCUGUCUGCAGACUCAGGCAAAUCAGGGGAAUUGGAUACAGUCAAUUCACAUGUAGAUGUUUUUCCUUGCGAUCACAAGGGGCAAAAACUUGGUUUUAAUUAGAGAUCAUAUUAAGCAGCAGUUGCUGGUUCCCACCUGGGAAAGACUCCUACUCACCCUGAGCAAUUUGAUUUUCCAAGCCAGGCCCCAACCCAUACACCAUGCUGCCAUCUUGCCCCUGUUUGUGCCUUGUCCCACAGGGAAGGAAAUCAGUGCUGGUUCCAAUUAAGGACUUUAGCUAAGGAGAUUCCUAACCCUAUUUUAACAUGAUCCUCUCAGCAAAAGGUCAGAUUAGCAAGUCCUCCAUCUAAUCAACAAAUCGCUUUCCUUGAAGCUCUUCAUGCCUAAGAAAAACAACCUCAUUAUUAACAACAUCUCUUCCUAAACAAUGUCUCAUGCGGCGUUAAACCUUGCUGCCACCUGCUGGCUGCUGAAAUUCUGCACUCAGACUCUAUACGAAUCCCUGUGAACACAGCAGCUCUAAUAAUAGAAAUUGUCCUAUUGGAAAGAACCGAUGGCUCAGCUAGUCUGCUGUCCCCACUUCCUGCUCAGGGGUUUGGUUAUCCUGCUAUUCCCUCCUCCUCUUUCACUGGGACAAAUCAAUGUUCUAUCUACUCCAAUACCCAGCCUCCCACAGGGGCACAUAUUGGAUAUUUAAGAAAAAUGUGAAAAAUCCCCAAAAUACAUCUGGUCUACUGCUACUUGGGUGUGGGGGUGUGUGAGUGAUUUCUCCCUGUCCCUGAUCAGCACUUUGUUCACGCUGUAUCGCGCAAGACCUGAAAGCCCUUGUAUUUCUUCCCAGCGAGUGCUGAUGCUAGUCUUAGUUGUACAAACACCUAAUGCUUUCUGAACCUGUC
This is a long non-coding RNA of Mauremys reevesii (Reeves's turtle), 2937 nucleotides long. RefSeq lists it as uncharacterized. Lineage: Eukaryota; Metazoa; Chordata; Testudines; Geoemydidae. The transcript has 4 exons. The record is from RefSeq and is a predicted model, not a curated record.